Molecule: long non-coding RNA, 1356 nt
Organism: Columba livia (rock pigeon)
Lineage: Eukaryota; Metazoa; Chordata; Aves; Columbiformes; Columbidae
Exons: 2
Source: RefSeq, a predicted model, not a curated record
CUCCGGGGGACGCGGAAAGCGGGCCCGUUCCCACCGCCACGGGAGCUCGGCCCCGGGCCUGCCCGGUCCGCUCCUCGGGCGCUCCGGGCGGGCACUGACAGGACGGCGCAGGCGGACAGAGCAAGGACACGAUCUCCACCAUUUUCCGUGGAAAGCUAUUUCACAGCCUGUGUUCUGAUCUCAUUCCGGUGAGCCAUCCUCAAGCGAGUCCUCUUUAUGACGCCAGAGGGACUACUCUGGUACAGGGACUGAUGUAGUUAAAAAUCCCUGCUCACUGCUUUGAACAUUUUUAGUGGUGUAUUCUCGUUAUGUUAGUGGAGUAGGGAACAUGUAGAGACGCGCUUCAUUUUGGAUGUUUACUCCCUAGAUUGUUUUUCACAGAUGGUUUUAUUUUCAGGUUUCUUGGUUGUCUUGUUCCUCCCACAAGGAAGUGUGCCUAGUUAUUUUGACUCAACACCUUACGGCUUUAUAGCUUCUAUGUGUUCCAUCACCAUUUUUAGUACUGACAAUAUAAAUGAAUACAUCAUAAAUUACAAGGCUUGCUUGUUAGUUUUGUUUGGAUUUUUUGUUUGUAAUACUAAAAAUAUGUCAACAUACAAUUGCUAUUUUAUAUCACACAUACUUCAAGAUUUAAAUGCAAUUUAACAAUGAAAGAUGAAUUGCUGUACAAAUGGAUUUAGAGUAAUUUUACUAAUCAAAGAAUUUACUUGUUCCCAUUUUUUAUAUCUCAUUUAAUUCGAGUGUCAUAUGAAGACAAAACAGAAUGAAAAACUUAUUUGGACCCUCUUCAGCACUCUACAUGCAGGAAGAGCUUUGUGGAAAACGUAAGAACUCUGAGUAGCAAAAGACAGAAGACAAUGAAGAAAGGAAGGGGAGAAUGACUGCAACCACACUCCACUAAGUGUUACGUAUGAAUUUGCAGAGCUCAUUCCCAGUAAGAUUCAAUUUUGGGAUUUGUAGUUUGGUGUGACAUACGGAUGUCUGAAUACUUCUGGAAAUAAACGCCAUUGGGAAGGACUUCAUUUCAAAUAAAACCCAUGUAUAACAAAUGCCAAAGCUUCCAGCAGUGUUCAACACUCUCUUAUCUCCAGUUGUUCAGAAAAGAAGAUGAGGAUACCUGAAACAUAUGAGAAAGAAGGCACAACAUCUGCUGUGGCAGAUACACCACUGGGAAACAGGAAAAACGUGAAAAAGUACUUGAGCAGAAGAAUCCCUUUCCAUUAAACAAGACUGGGGGAAUGAAAUCUUAUUGGGACUUAGCAAUGUAAAACGACAGUAAAAAAUGACCCAGGAUAGAAAGACUUGUUUCGCUCUGUGAGUAGUGUUUAAUGGUACAAUAAAUAUUUGGAGAUGGAA